CCUACGGGAGGCAGCAGUCGAGAAUCAUUCACAAUGGGGGAAACCCUGAUGGUGCGACGCCGCGUGGGGGAAUGAAGGUCUUCGGAUUGUAAACCCCUGUCAUGUGGGAGCAAAUUAAAAAGAUAGUACAACAAGAGGAAGAGACGUCUAACUCUGUGGCAGCAGCCGCGGUAAUACAGAAGGCUCAAGCGUUGUUUGGAAACACUGGGCGUAAAGCGGGCGGAGGCUGUUUCGUAAGUCGUAUGUGAAAGGCUCGGGCUCAACCCGCGGACGGCACAUGAUACUGCGAGACUCGAGGAAAGGAGGGGGAACCGGAAUUCUCGGUGUAGCAGUGAAAUGCGUAGAU
RNAcentral lists this ribosomal RNA (346 nucleotides) under uncultured bacterium. Its description in RNAcentral is "partial 16S ribosomal RNA". It matches the Rfam family "Bacterial small subunit ribosomal RNA", at positions 338 to 695 of the family's 1533-position model. The record is from RNAcentral.